UGUGCAGCCAUAGCUUAUCGCUGCAUAGCAAUAUGCAGAGGAAAGUCCGGACAAUGUCGGGUCAUCACACCAUUUAACAGAUGGCUCAGGAUUCGCGUCCUGAAGAGAACGUGUCACAGAAAAUUACCGUCCCGCCUGGCGGGAUAAGGGUGAAAACGUGUGGUAAGAGCGCACGCAUCAGGCUGGUAACAGUUUGUUGGGAUAAACCUUGUGAAUUGAAAUGCCAUGUAUAUCUAUCGUUCGAAAGAAUGCCAGGACCCGUGGUUGCGCAAGCAGGUAGAGGGGUAGGCAGCUUAGAUAAAUGAUAAGCACUUUAUGAUUUAUUCAUAAAGUACAGAAUCCGGCUUAUUUGGCUUUUUAAAAU
Molecule: RNase P RNA, 364 nt
Filed under: Saprospiraceae bacterium
Lineage: Bacteria; Pseudomonadati; Bacteroidota; Saprospiria; Saprospirales; Saprospiraceae
Description: RNase P RNA component class A
Rfam family: Bacterial RNase P class A
About the family: Ribonuclease P (RNase P) is a ubiquitous endoribonuclease, found in archaea, bacteria and eukarya as well as chloroplasts and mitochondria. Its best characterised activity is the generation of mature 5'-ends of tRNAs by cleaving the 5'-leader elements of precursor-tRNAs.
Source: RNAcentral